UACAGAGGGGGCAAGCGUUAUUCGGAAUUAUUGGGCGUAAAGGGCGCGUAGGCGGCUUUUCAAGUGACGGGUGAAAUCCCUCGGCUUAACCGGGGAACUGCAUCUGAUACUGGAUGGCUUGAGUUCGGGAGAGGGAUGCGGAAUUCCAGGUGUAGCGGUGAAAUGCGUAGAUAUCUGGAGGAACACCGGUGGCGAAGGCGGCAUCCUGGACCGACACUGACGCUGAGGAGCGAAAGCCAGGGGAGCAAACGGG
This 253-nucleotide ribosomal RNA is filed under the name uncultured bacterium. Its description in RNAcentral is "partial 16S ribosomal RNA". It matches the Rfam family "Bacterial small subunit ribosomal RNA", at positions 524 to 776 of the family's 1533-position model. The record is from RNAcentral.